Long non-coding RNA from Ipomoea nil (Japanese morning glory), 174 nucleotides. RefSeq lists it as uncharacterized. Lineage: Eukaryota; Viridiplantae; Streptophyta; Magnoliopsida; Solanales; Convolvulaceae. The record is from RefSeq and is a predicted model, not a curated record. The transcript has 3 exons.
AACUAUGUUAAAGUUUUUAUUCAUGGUACUUAAAAAUUACCUCUUUGAGACCAUUCUUAGAAUAGGUAAUCUGCUCUUUGUCUUCCUUUUCGUUCCUAGUAUGUUCUUCACUAUUUCCUGUGUGAUUCAAUCAGAACAGUGACAGACAUAAGCAAUUUGACAAAAACUAACACA